RNAcentral lists this transfer RNA (63 nucleotides) under human gut metagenome. It matches the Rfam family "tRNA", at positions 7 to 64 of the family's 71-position model. Rfam says of the family: Transfer RNA (tRNA) molecules are approximately 80 nucleotides in length. Their secondary structure includes four short double-helical elements and three loops (D, anti-codon, and T loops). The record is from RNAcentral.
UUAGCUCAGUCGGUAGAGCACUGGUCUCCAAAACCAGGUGUCGGGAGUUCGAGUCUCUCAACC